CCAUGUUGGGUCCCGCAGCGGGUCCUGAACCUUGGCCACAUCCAGGCGCGCAGCACGGCGGGCAGGAGAGAGACACCCGCUGGGAAAGAGCUGGGGGUGAUGGCUGACAGGCAGCUGAACGUGAGCCCAGAAAGGAGCAGCAAACAGAAAUCAAAGCUGCCACUGCUGCUAUCCCCCAGGCAGCCCUGGAGGUCCCCCAGGAGGGAUGUGCCUGUGACAAGGUGGAGCUGCCCUCACCUCCAGCCGCCGCUGUUUCUCAGGAUCCUCCUCGUUCAUGAUUCGCUCCUUCUCCGCCCGUUUCUUCUCCUCGCGGCGGGACUGCGCAGCCUCCUGUCUCUGCACGUGGGUCAGCUUGAGGAAGUUCUCUUCCACCCGAGCCCUGUUCUUGUCAGCUUUUUGUUUACCCUUGGCACAGAGAAAAGCAAACUCAGGUUGUACUGAGCUCCCCACAAGCAGGAUGCAGGAUCUCUACCGGUCGUACAGAAACAGAAGGAUCCAGUGGAUCCAUAAGGAGCCAGGGGUAAUGGUUCCAGUUUCACACAAUGUCAGAAGACAGAAAACCAGGCACUACUUACUUCUCUGUUCAGCCUGAACUUCUUUGCUUUGUCAAUGGAGUAGAUAACCAUGCUCAUCAGAGGCAGCAAAGACUCCAUGUCCUUUGGGGAAGUGUUGCCUGAACCAGGCACUGAAAUAAAGAGUUCCUUGUUCACUCACACAGACUGGCAGUACUUGUCUGCUUGCUGUGAUGCUCUUCCCUUAUGGCUCACACUGUUCAUGAAAUAAAGAUGCUCUUAUCCUG
Agelaius phoeniceus (red-winged blackbird) is the source of this 799-nucleotide non-coding RNA. Lineage: Eukaryota; Metazoa; Chordata; Aves; Passeriformes; Icteridae. The record is from RefSeq and is a predicted model, not a curated record.